Molecule: ribosomal RNA, 1141 nt
Filed under: uncultured Bacteroides sp.
Lineage: Bacteria; Pseudomonadati; Bacteroidota; Bacteroidia; Bacteroidales; Bacteroidaceae
Description: bacterial SSU rRNA
Rfam family: Bacterial small subunit ribosomal RNA
Source: RNAcentral
AGUUUGAUCCUGGCUCAGGAUGAACGCUAGCUACAGGCUUAACACAUGCAAGUCGAGGGGCAGCAUGGUCUUAGCUUGCUAAGACUGAUGGCGACCGGCGCACGGGUGAGUAACACGUAUCCAACCUGCCGUCUACUCUUGGACAGCCUUCUGAAAGGAAGAUUAAUACAAGAUGGCAUCAUGAGUCCGCAUGUUCACAUGAUUAAAGGUAUUCCGGUAGACGAUGGGGAUGCGUUCCAUUAGAUAGUAGGCGGGGUAACGGCCCACCUAGUCUUCGAUGGAUAGGGGUUCUGAGAGGAAGGUCCCCCACAUUGGAACUGAGACACGGUCCAAACUCCUACGGGAGGCAGCAGUGAGGAAUAUUGGUCAAUGGGCGAGAGCCUGAACCAGCCAAGUAGCGUGAAGGAUGACUGCCCUAUGGGUUGUAAACUUCUUUUAUAAAGGAAUAAAGUCGGGUAUGCAUACCCGUUUGCAUGUACUUUAUGAAUAAGGAUCGGCUAACUCCGUGCCAGCAGCCGCGGUAAUACGGAGGAUCCGAGCGUUAUCCGGAUUUAUUGGGUUUAAAGGGAGCGUAGAUGGAUGUUUAAGUCAGUUGUGAAAGUUUGCGGCUCAACCGUAAAAUUGCAGUUGAUACUGGAUAUCUUGAGUGCAGUUGAGGCAGGCGGAAUUCGUGGUGUAGCGGUGAAAUGCUUAGAUAUCACGAAGAACUCCGAUUGCGAAGGCAGCCUGCUAAGCUGCAACUGACAUUGAGGCUCGAAAGUGUGGGUAUCAAACAGGAUUAGAUACCCUGGUAGUCCACACGGUAAACGAUGAAUACUCGCUGUUUGCGAUAUACUGCAAGCGGCCAAGCGAAAGCGUUAAGUAUUCCACCUGGGGAGUACGCCGGCAACGGUGAAACUCAAAGGAAUUGACGGGGGCCCGCACAAGCGGAGGAACAUGUGGUUUAAUUCGAUGAUACGCGAGGAACCUUACCCGGGCUUAAAUUGCAGAUGAAUUACGGUGAAAGCCGUAAGCCGCAAGGCAUCUGUGAAGGUGCUGCAUGGUUGUCGUCAGCCCGUGCCGUGAGGUGUCGGCUUAAGUGCCAUAACGAGCGCAACCCUUGUUGUCAGUUACUAACAGGUUCCGCUGAGGACUCUGACAA